AUGGAGGUACUUGGAAAAUCCCCCAUGGUUAGCUCCGCCAAUGUUAUUUACUUAUCCGCGAUCCUAGGCCGAGACUGCGACGCGUCUCACAAAUGCGACUGGAAAUGCGAGAACGAAAACGUUUUCGGGAACAUGUACCGCUGCAAACUAACUGGACUCACCCACGUCUGCGACAACAACUGUAACCAGAGGAUCCUCUACGAUAACCACACCUCCCUGUGCAGGGCGAGCGGGCGGGUUUUCCCUCUCUCGCCUGCUGAGGAGCAGGCGGUGAGAGGUGUUAGGAGGAAGUUUGACAACAGUGAGAGUCUUCCUCCUACUGAGGGAUGUUCUUUUAAGCGUCGUCGUCGCGAUGUGACUCAGUUCAAAGCUUCUCCUUUCGAGAGGUCUUUCACUGCUGUGAGUCCUAUCUGCAGCCCUGCUGGUGACGGGAUGGACUUGAGUUAGAUCCAUCAAUCAUCUCCCUGAGAGAGGCUCUUUAAUAAGACGUCCUCCUGUGUUUGUGCUCAGCAGGCAACAACACGCAAGGAAGGCAGUGAGCAGGUACAAUUACCAAGCGAGGAUGGGAUUGGCCAACUGUGUUCAAAUUAUCAGUUAUUCAUGGUUCAGAUUUCUUUAGAAUGUAAAGUUUCUGAUGAAGUUCAUGGAAUCUGGGCUCUUAUGUUAUUGUUACUCCACCUGAAUGGCUAAAUCACAGUCCUGGCUUACAAAAAGGUCAGAGACGUAGGCAUUCGAUGGUUUGAUGCAAGAGCCUAGAUUUUCUGGAAUCGUGGAAGAUUCUGUUCCAAAGAAGUUGGCAAAGUAUCAAAUGUUGACUCUACCUCUACGAUAACAUACGUUAUGUUAAUAUCUCUCCCUAUUAGCUUAUGAUGAUAACAAUCACUGUCUGCUUAACUUUUCAUCUUGUUUAGAAAUCAAAAUAAUCUCUGCUUUUAUU
This is an RNA transcript of Brassica napus (rape), 937 nucleotides long. RefSeq lists it as uncharacterized. The transcript has 4 exons. Lineage: Eukaryota; Viridiplantae; Streptophyta; Magnoliopsida; Brassicales; Brassicaceae. The record is from RefSeq and is a predicted model, not a curated record.